CCAAAAACCCUAGCUCAUUCUUUCCCUCCCCUUCUCUCUCUUCUCCACCGGCGGCUGUGCAAGCGAGCGGGCGGAGCGAGCCGAACAGCGGUGGCGCGGAGCGCCAGCGCCCGUGGUGGAGGAGGUCCGGCACCGACGAGCAAGCGUGCCUCCCGUGCGGGCGUAACCCGCGGGAUCCGCGGCGGCGAUGGCGAGGGGGCCAUGUCCGGCCUGCGGGCGGCCUUCCGGCAGCGCACGGCUCACGGAGGGAGCCGGCGUCUCGCCGUUGCAGCGGGGACGGCAGAGCCACUCGGGGCCAAAACCCGGGCGCGCCUGCCACUGAUGCGCUGACCGUGGCGGCGCCGAGGCACCACGACCACAGCGGCCCCUUAGGAACGUCCACCGCCCCUUCUUCCCCUUGAUUGUAGGGUCAGGGAUUCAUGAUUUUGGGGAUUUCACUGUAGCUAGGGUUCUUGAUUUGGGGAUUUUAGGAAAUAGCUUAGGAUUAGUACUUUAUUUCUUCAAUUCCCCUUCUUCCUCAUGCAUUCAAAACCCUAGCCAAAGAUAGCAUAAUUUCGGGCAUGAUUUGCCUUAACUGAGAAAAAAAUAGGAGCUUAGCAACAUGAACAGGGGCCUUUUCUUAUGAAUUCGGGUUCAAACUUAGGGCUAGAUGGCUCUGGUGCCAUUGUUAGGUCUUAGGAUCACUAGCCUAAGAGUGAACCACAAAUAGAGGCUCAAGUUAGGAUUUAUACCUUUGUUCUUGAGCUCUCAUCUUUUUCUCUUUUCUUCUGUUCUUCUUCUCCUCCUUGCUUUAGCCGGUUAGGGCUUUGGGAAUCCCUUCCCAGUGUUUCUUGUGCUCCUUUUGAUUGGGUUCACAGUGGGGCAGAGUUUUUUUGGGCAGUCUCUAGGACGUGCCUCUGCCCCUGGGGUUAAUCCCCUUAUAUACAUGAGCACAGCACACGGGGAGAACUCCCCUGGUGUGUUCUAGGAGGGGCUCCAAUCAAGCCCCUCAUUAAAUAAGGUCAAAGAUGGUGUGCCACCAGUUUAGACUAGUGAUCACCAUGUUCACACCAACAGGCCUGCGAUCCUCCAGCACGCCUGCCUCCCUCCGGGCUCCGGCCAGCCUAGAGGACGCUGCCUCCCUCCGAGGUUUGAAGGAGCUUUGCCACUUUCAAAGGAUAUGCCUGGUUCGAAGGAGACUUUUGACGAGGUUUGCUUAGAUAGUUAGAUGACUACUCUGAAAUUCUUACUUGGUUCACUGCUUUUGAAACAACAUCUGCUUAAAUUCAACCUGCUCUAUUUCAGUAGCUGCUUACAUUUGAUUUUUUAUUAAAUUGUUCAUCACACAACAUGCACGUGGUAGUUUAUUCAGAUGCUCUUUGCAGCAAUAAACUUUUGAGUUCAGUUUCUAAACUACCGUGCAUGCCUUCUGAUGAUGUGCUUCUUACUGUGUGCAGAGUAUGCCUUCACCAUGAAGGUCACUGAGAAGCGCGAUGUUUAUAGUUUCGGUGUAGUUUUGUUGGAACUACUGACCAGGCAAUCACUAAUUCAGCUUCUAGAGAAAGGAAGAGAUCUUGUGAAUUUGGUUCUGAAGCUAAUCGAUCAUAGACUUGCAGAGUUUUGCUGGACACAUGUAAGACAUUCUUAUGGCAUAAUGGCAGAGGUCACCAUGUAAUCCAAUUCCUUGUAAUGUUGCACCGCAACAUGUUUCUACAGUUGAAUACAUCUCUUCUGAAAUUUGUGUAGCAAGCAUCAUCACCUCAACUUUUUUGAGUAACAUUUCAUGGAGGUACAUCAGCUCUCAAAAA
Panicum virgatum (switchgrass) is the source of this 1787-nucleotide long non-coding RNA. RefSeq lists it as uncharacterized. The record is from RefSeq and is a predicted model, not a curated record. The transcript is spliced from 2 exons. NCBI's taxonomy places the organism in Eukaryota, Viridiplantae, Streptophyta, Magnoliopsida, Poales, Poaceae.